RNAcentral lists this ribosomal RNA (468 nucleotides) under uncultured bacterium. RNAcentral describes it as "partial 16S ribosomal RNA". It matches the Rfam family "Bacterial small subunit ribosomal RNA", at positions 28 to 507 of the family's 1533-position model. The record is from RNAcentral.
GACGAACGCUGGCGGCGUGCUUAACACAUGCAAGUCGAACGGAAAGGCCCUGCUUUUGUGGGGUGCUCGAGUGGCGAACGGGUGAGUAACACGUGAGUAACCUGCCCUUGACUUUGGGAUAACUUCAGGAAACUGGGGCUAAUAUCGGAUAGGAGCUCCUGCUGCAUGGUGGGGGUUGGAAAGUUUCGGCGGUUGGGGAUGGACUCGCGGCUUAUCAGCUUGUUGGUGGGGUAGUGGCUUACCAAGGCUUUGACGGGUAGCCGGCCUGAGAGGGUGACCGGCCACAUUGGGACUGAGGUACGGCCCAGACUCCUACGGGAGGCAGCAGUGGGGAAUAUUGCACAAUGGGCGGAAGCCUGAUGCAGCAACGCCGCGUGCGGGAUGACGGCCUUCGGGUUAUAAACCGCUUUCGCCUGUGACGAAGCGUGAGUGACGGUAAUGGGUAAAGAAGCACCGGCUAACUACGUG